AGUAACGCGUGAGGAACCUGCCUCAAAGAGGGGGACAACAGUUGGAAACGACUGCUAAUACCGCAUAAGCCCACAGCUCGGCAUCGAGCAGAGGGAAAAGGAGUGAUCCGCUUUGAGAUGGCCUCGCGUCCGAUUAGCUAGUUGGCGAGGUAACGGCCCACCAAGGCAACGAUCGGUAGCCGGACUGAGAGGUUGAACGGCCACAUUGGGACUGAGACACGGCCCAG
RNAcentral lists this ribosomal RNA (227 nucleotides) under uncultured bacterium. RNAcentral describes it as "partial 16S ribosomal RNA". It matches the Rfam family "Bacterial small subunit ribosomal RNA", at positions 109 to 334 of the family's 1533-position model. The record is from RNAcentral.